This 492-nucleotide ribosomal RNA is filed under the name uncultured bacterium. Its description in RNAcentral is "partial 16S ribosomal RNA". It matches the Rfam family "Bacterial small subunit ribosomal RNA", at positions 29 to 507 of the family's 1533-position model. The record is from RNAcentral.
AGUGAACGCUGGCGGUAGGCCUAAUACAUGCAAGUCGAACGACCAGACAGGAAGAGCUCUCCCUUAACGGUGGCGAGUGGCGGGCGGGUGACGCAUACAUCGGAAACCUAUUUUUCUUGGGGGACUACGGGGGGCAAAUUCCGCUAAUACCUAAUAUGAUCAACCGGAUGAAUCAGCGGGGAAUCGGGCUCUUGCCGAUACAUAUAGACGAUGCCGGAUUAGCUAGUUGGCUGGGUAAAGGCCCACCAAGGCGACGAUCCGUAGCUGGUCUGAGAGGAUGAUCAGCCACACUGGAACUGAGACACGGUCCAGACUCCUACGGGAGGCAGCAGUGGGGAAUCUUGGACAAUGGGCGCAAGCCUGAUCCAGCCAUACCGCGUGGGUGAAGAAGGCCUUCGGGUUGUAAAGCCCUUUUGUUGGGGAAGAAAAGCAGCAGAUUAAUACCCCGCUGUUCUGACGGUACCCAAAGAAUAAGCACCGGCUAACUUCGUG